CCUACGGGAGGCAGCAGUGGGGAAUAUUGGACAAUGGGGGCAACCCUGAUCCAGCCAUGCCGCGUGUGUGAAGAAGGCCCUCGGGUUGUAAAGCACUUUCAGUGAGGAAGAACGCCUGGUGGUUAAUACCCAUCAGGAAAGACAUCACUCACAGAAGAAGCACCGGCUGACUCCGUGCCAGCAGCCGCGGUAAUACGGAGGGUGCGAGCGUUAAUCGGAAUUACUGGGCGUAAAGCGCGCGUAGGUGGCUUGAUAAGCCGGUUGUGAAAGCCCCGGGCUCAACCUGGGAACGGCAUCCGGAACUGUCAAGCUAGAGUGCAGGAGAGGAAGGUAGAAUUCCCGGUGUAGCGGUGAAAUGCGUAGAGAUCGGGAGGAAUACCAGUGGCGAAGGCGGCCUUCUGGACUGACACUGACACUGAGGUGCGAAAGCGUGGGUAGCAAACAGGAUUAGAUACCCGGGUAGUC
This 465-nucleotide ribosomal RNA is filed under the name Vreelandella stevensii. RNAcentral's name for it is "partial 16S ribosomal RNA". It matches the Rfam family "Bacterial small subunit ribosomal RNA", at positions 338 to 795 of the family's 1533-position model. The record is from RNAcentral. Lineage: Bacteria; Pseudomonadati; Pseudomonadota; Gammaproteobacteria; Oceanospirillales; Halomonadaceae.